UACGUAGGGUGCAAGCGUUAAUCGGAAUUACUGGGCGUAAAGCGUGCGCAGGCGGCUUUGUAAGUCUGAUGUGAAAUCCCCGGGCUCAACCUGGGAAUUGCAUUGGAGACUGCAAGGCUAGAAUCUGGCAGAGGGGGGUAGAAUUCCACGUGUAGCAGUGAAAUGCGUAGAGAUGUGGAGGAACACCGAUGGCGAAGGCAGCCCCCUGGGUCAAGAUUGACGCUCAUGCACAAAAGCGUGGGGAGCAAACAGG
This 253-nucleotide ribosomal RNA is filed under the name uncultured bacterium. Its description in RNAcentral is "partial 16S ribosomal RNA". It matches the Rfam family "Bacterial small subunit ribosomal RNA", at positions 524 to 776 of the family's 1533-position model. The record is from RNAcentral.